GAUGAACGCUGGCGGCGUGCCUAAUACAUGCAAGUCGAGCGAACAGACGAGGAGCUUGCUCCUCUGACGUUAGCGGCGGACGGGUGAGUAACACGUGGAUAACCUACCUAUAAGACUGGGAUAACUUCGGGAAACCGGAGCUAAUACCGGAUAAUAUAUUGAACCGCAUGGUUCAAUAGUGAAAGACGGUUUUGCUGUCACUUAUAGAUGGAUCCGCGCCGCAUUAGCUAGUUGGUAAGGUAACGGCUUACCAAGGCAACGAUGCGUAGCCGACCUGAGAGGGUGAUCGGCCACACUGGAACUGAAACACGGUCCAGACUCCUACGGGAGGCAGCAGUAGGGAAUCUUCCGCAAUGGGCGCAAGCCUGACGGAGCAACGCCGCAUGAGUGAUGAAGGUCUUCGGAUCGUAAAACUCUGUUAUUAGGGAAGAACAAAUGUGUAAGUAACUAUGCACGUCUUGACGGUACCUAAUCAGAAAGCCACGGCUAACUACGUG
RNAcentral lists this ribosomal RNA (497 nucleotides) under uncultured bacterium. RNAcentral describes it as "partial 16S ribosomal RNA". It matches the Rfam family "Bacterial small subunit ribosomal RNA", at positions 28 to 507 of the family's 1533-position model. The record is from RNAcentral.